CCUGGAGAAAAUGAACAGUAGUAGACGCUCUACUGUCCCAGGCCCUUUGAAGUAUCCACCGUCUCUGUGUUUUGUGCUGGGAAUGCUCCACUUUCCCAGGCAUCCUGAACUACUCACCGUGUGCUCUGACUGCACCUGGUUUAAUUUGCGUAAAAUCUGAGUGAAGUCCGGUGCAGCGUUGCUAAAUGUGGAGGGAGCUUCAGGCUUCAGACAGACUGUUGGUCAAACAAAACGCCGCGUGGAGACGCCACCGCGAGGGACUGUGUUUAACAAAGUUCCCCUCUGGGAGUAUCCAGCAGCAGUCUGUCUGAGCAGUGACGAACGUCUGACUUGAGGUUUUGAUAAGUGGAAAGGAAACAUUGUGCAAUUCAGAUAAAGUGAUUCAUAAAGGAGUAGCCCAGAGUUGCUUCAUCAAAAUGUCCAAAUGAUUUUUGGCAGGGUGCAAGGAAUUAAUGAACAUGAUACUCUUAU
Long non-coding RNA from Siniperca chuatsi (mandarin fish), 471 nucleotides. RefSeq lists it as uncharacterized. The record is from RefSeq and is a predicted model, not a curated record. NCBI's taxonomy places the organism in Eukaryota, Metazoa, Chordata, Actinopteri, Centrarchiformes, Sinipercidae. The transcript has 3 exons.